RNAcentral lists this ribosomal RNA (484 nucleotides) under uncultured bacterium. RNAcentral describes it as "partial 16S ribosomal RNA". It matches the Rfam family "Bacterial small subunit ribosomal RNA", at positions 29 to 507 of the family's 1533-position model. The record is from RNAcentral.
AUUGAACGCUGGCGGCAUGCUUUACACAUGCAAGUCGAACGGCAGCGCGGGCUUCGGCCUGGCGGCGAGUGGCGAACGGGUGAGUAAUACAUCGGAACGUGCCCAGUAGUGGGGGAUAGCUCGGCGAAAGCCGGAUUAAUACCGCAUACGACCUGAGGGUGAAAGCGGGGGAUCUUCGGACCUCGCGCUAUUUGAGCGGCCGAUGGCAGAUUAGCUAGUUGGUGGGGUAAAGGCCUACCAAGGCGACGAUCUGUAGCUGGUCUGAGAGGACGACCUGCCACACUGGAACUGAGACACGGCCCAGACUCCUACGGGAGGCAGCAGUAGGGAAUUUUAGGCAAUGGGCGAAAGCCUGAUAGAGCAAGGCCGCGUGUGUGAUGAAGGCCUUCGGGUUGUAAAGCACUUUUGGCGGGAACGAAAAGAAGUGUGCCAAUAAAACGAUUCGAUGACGGUACCCGAAGAAUAAGCACCGGCUAACUACGUG